GACGAACGCUGGCGGCGUGCCUAAUACAUGCAAGUAGAACGCUGAAGGAGGAGCUUGCUUCUCUGGAUGAGUUGCGAACGGGUGAGUAACACGUGGGUAACCUGCCCAUCAGAGGGGGAUAACAUUCGGAAACGGAUGCUAAAACCGCAUAGGUCUUCGAGCCGCAUGGUUUGAAGAGGAAAAGAGGCGCAAGCUUCUGCUGAUGGAUGGACCCGCGGUGCAUUAGCUAGUUGGUGAGGUAACGGCUCACCAAGGCCGUGAUGCAUAGCCGACCUGAGAGGGUGAUCGGCCACAUUGGGACUGAGACACGGCCCAAACUCCUACGGGAGGCAGCAGUAGGGAAUCUUCCGCAAUGGACGCAAGUCUGACGGAGCAACGCCGCGUGAGUGAAGAAGGUUUUCGGAUCGUAAAACUCUGUUGUUAGAGAAGAACAAGUGCUAGAGUAACUGUUAGCGCCUUGACGGUAUCUAACCAGAAAGCCACGGCUAACUACGUGCCAGCAGCCGCGGUAAUACGUAGGUGGCAAGCGUUGUCCGGAUUUAUUGGGCGUAAAGCGAGCGCAGGCGGUUCCUUAAGUCUGAUGUGAAAGCCCCCGGCUCAACCGGGGAGGGUCAUUGGAAACUGGGGAACUUGAGUGCAGAAGAGGAGAGUGGAAUUCCAUGUGUAGCGGUGAAAUGCGUAGAUAUAUGGAGGAACACCAGUGGCGAAGACUACUCUCUGGUCUGUAACUGACGCUGAGGCUCGAAAGCGUGGGUAGCAAACAGG
Molecule: ribosomal RNA, 765 nt
Filed under: uncultured Enterobacteriaceae bacterium
Lineage: Bacteria; Pseudomonadati; Pseudomonadota; Gammaproteobacteria; Enterobacterales; Enterobacteriaceae
Description: bacterial SSU rRNA
Rfam family: Bacterial small subunit ribosomal RNA
Source: RNAcentral